This 337-nucleotide unclassified non-coding RNA is filed under the name soil metagenome. RNAcentral's name for it is "partial contains 5.8S ribosomal RNA, internal transcribed spacer 2, and large subunit ribosomal RNA". The stretch from base 1 to 120 matches the Rfam family "5.8S ribosomal RNA", at positions 35 to 154 of the family's 154-position model. The record is from RNAcentral.
GAUGAAGAACGUAGCGAAAUGCGAUAAGUAAUGCGAAUUGCAGAAUUCAGUGAAUCAUCGAAUCUUUGAACGCACAUUGCGCCCUUUGGUAUUCCUUAGGGCAUGCCUGUUCGAGCGUCAUUUAAACCUUCAAGCUCAGCUUGGUGUUGGGUGACUGUCCGCUGCCCUCGGGUGCGGACUCGCCUCAAAAUCAUUGGCGGCCGGUACAUUGGCUUCGAGCGCAGCAGAAACGCGAACUCGAGGACGUUGUAUUGGCUCCCAGAAGCUAUCUUCAUAAUUUUGACCUCGGAUCAGGUAGGGAUACCCGCUGAACUUAAGCAUAUCAAUAAGCGGAGGA